GACGAACGCUGGCGGCGUGCCUAAUACAUGCAAGUUGAGCGAUGAAGAUUGGUGCUUGCACCAAUUUGGAGAGCAGCGAACGGGUGAGUAACGCGUGGGGAAUCUGCCUUUGAGCGGGGGACAACAUUUGGAAACGAAUGCUAAUACCGCAUAACAACUUUAAACAUAAGUUUUAAGUUUGAAAGAUGCAAUUGCAUCACUCAAAGAUGAUCCCGCGUUGUAUUAGCUAGUUGGUGAGGUAAAGGCUCACCAAGGCGAUGAUACAUAGCCGACCUGAGAGGGUGAUCGGCCACAUUGGGACUGAGACGCGGCCCAAACUCCUACGGGAGGCAGCAGUAGGGAAUCUUCGGCAAUGGACGAAAGUCUGACCGAGCAACGCCGCGUGAGUGAAGAAGGUUUUCGGAUCGUAAAACUCUGUUGGUAGAGAAGAACGGUGGUGAGAGUGGAAAGCUCAUCAAGUGACGGUAACUACCCAGAAAGGGACGGCUAACUACGUG
This 497-nucleotide ribosomal RNA is filed under the name uncultured bacterium. RNAcentral's name for it is "partial 16S ribosomal RNA". It matches the Rfam family "Bacterial small subunit ribosomal RNA", at positions 28 to 507 of the family's 1533-position model. The record is from RNAcentral.